Molecule: long non-coding RNA, 1390 nt
Organism: Macaca mulatta (Rhesus monkey)
Lineage: Eukaryota; Metazoa; Chordata; Mammalia; Primates; Cercopithecidae
Source: RefSeq, a predicted model, not a curated record
UAGCCCCACCCUAACCUGAUCUUAGUCAUGGAACAAGAAAAUCCGGGACAAAGGCCACUGUGAAGUUCAGAUGAGCAGGUUAGGCAUACAGGAACAACACGUGCACCUUAACUCUAAAUCUACAUUUUCUAAUAGAAAGAUUAAAAGAAUAUAAAAUGCCAUUAUUAUCUUUAUAAGAAAGGUCAAAGUGGUAUCAGUUCAUAGACGAAAUGGUAUCAGCUCAAGCAAUGGUAUCACCAAUGCUUGGUAAAGCCUCCAGCAAGCUAUGAGGAAUCUAGACUCCAUUCAAAAUAUGAUAUCAAAUGUUGCCCUUUGCAAAUUUGGAUUGCUUAAGAAAAAAAAAUUCUAUCCCCUUCCCUCACACAAAUUUUAUCCACAUGGUAACUUGAAAAUUCUCCACUAGCUCCUUUUUCUCAACAUGAUAGGACAAUUAGUCUUUCUAAUCUGGGUUUCUCCCAAACCCCUGAACUCACACCAAUUCUCUCAUAAAAUUACCCCAAUUCAGUAUUAUUGAAUACAGCAGAGACACACUCACUGUUUUAAUUAAAGAGGCAAAGGCAUCUCUGAAUAGGAAGUAGUCUUUGAGUGCUUUGCCUUGUCUUUUUCAGGGAGUUGGUGACAGACACUGUGAUGUCGCUAAACCACCUAUAAGGAAAAAUAGUAUCAGAUGUUUGGCUUCAAUCAGGAAAAAAAGAAAAGAGAAGAGAAGAGAAGAGAAGAGAAGAGAAGAGAAAAGAAAAGAAAAGAAAAGAAAAGAAAAGAAAAGAAAAGAAAAGAAAAGAAAAGAGAAAAGAAAAGAAGAGCAAAGCCGUAAGGCUUAUUAUGAAUGGUUUCCCUGACUCCAAAAAUUUCCAUUCAAAUUAAUGCUAGGUUAGUCUUCAAAAAUUUUAAUCACAUUAUGUUUUUGCUCAAGAACUAUCUAUAGUCCCCUACUGCUUACCAAUAUCAAAUUCAAAUUCAUAUUCUCUUACUAUAGAUCCCUCACCACUUAGCCAUGCUUUCUUCUCCCACUCUUUUUCAGAGUUAACUCUCCAGUCUUGUAACUCUUGUCCAUUCUCUGAUCCUGUGUGCUUUUACACUUGCCAAUCCCUAACCUAAAUGCCUUUCUUCCAAUUCAGAUUUUAGCUUUUUUUAAAAAAAAAAAAAAAAAACUAAACCAAGUUUAAUCUCAUCUAGAAGCAUUUUCCUGAUGGUGGCCCUUACAGAUCUUUCUGUCCUUGAAAUUAUACCUCUUAGAAAAAGAAUGUUAUCAUUUAGCAUUUAUUUUUUUCUUUUACUGUUUACCAUGUAUUGGUAAUGGUUGUCUAACUAGAUUGUAUAAGCAAAAGUGAUAUGACAUAGGACUUUACUUUUAGACAUUAUUAAAUUGAAAUUCCCAUGAACGUUUAAA